This 88-nucleotide transfer RNA is filed under the name Hymenobacter properus. RNAcentral's name for it is "Hymenobacter sp. BT439 tRNA-Ser". It matches the Rfam family "tRNA". Rfam says of the family: Transfer RNA (tRNA) molecules are approximately 80 nucleotides in length. Their secondary structure includes four short double-helical elements and three loops (D, anti-codon, and T loops). RNAcentral also lists the same sequence under 1 other name. Lineage: Bacteria; Pseudomonadati; Bacteroidota; Cytophagia; Cytophagales; Hymenobacteraceae. The record is from RNAcentral.
AGAGAGGUGUCCGAGUGGUCGAAGGAGCACGCCUGGAAAGUGUGUAUGGGCCUCAAGCUCAUCGUGGGUUCGAAUCCCAUCCUCUCUG